UACAGGGGGUGCAAACGUUGCUCGGAAUCAUUGGGCGUAAAGCGUGCGCAGGCGGUUUUGUAAGCCAGAUGUGAAAUCCCCGGGCUUAACCUGGGAAUGGCAUUUGGGACUGCAAGGCUUGAGUGCGGCAGAGGAGACUGGAAUUCCUGGUGUAGCAGUGAAAUGCGUAGAUAUCAGGAGGAACACCGAUGGCGAAGGCAGGUCUCUGGGCUGACACUGACGCUCAUGCACGAAAGCGUGGGGAGCAAACAGG
Molecule: ribosomal RNA, 253 nt
Filed under: uncultured bacterium
Lineage: Bacteria
Description: partial 16S ribosomal RNA
Rfam family: Bacterial small subunit ribosomal RNA
Source: RNAcentral